This 427-nucleotide ribosomal RNA is filed under the name uncultured bacterium. Its description in RNAcentral is "bacterial SSU rRNA". It matches the Rfam family "Bacterial small subunit ribosomal RNA", at positions 355 to 774 of the family's 1533-position model. The record is from RNAcentral.
UGGGGAAUUUUGGACAAUGGGCGCAAGCCUGAUCCAGCCAUGCCGCGUGCGGGAAGAAGGCCUUCGGGUUGUAAACCGCUUUUGUCAGGGAAGAAAUCCUUUGAGCUAAUACCUCGGGGGGAUGACGGUACCUGAAGAAUAAGCACCGGCUAACUACGUGCCAGCAGCCGCGGUAAUACGUAGGGUGCAAGCGUUAAUCGGAAUUACUGGGCGUAAAGCGUGCGCAGGCGGUUAUGCAAGACAGAUGUGAAAUCCCCGGGCUCAACCUGGGAACUGCAUUUGUGACUGCAUAGCUGGAGUGCGGCAGAGGGGGAUGGAAUUCCGCGUGUAGCAGUGAAAUGCGUAGAUAUGCGGAGGAACACCGAUGGCGAAGGCAAUCCCCUGGGCCUGCACUGACGCUCAUGCACGAAAGCGUGGGGAGCAAACA